Pelobates cultripes (western spadefoot toad) is the source of this 110-nucleotide non-coding RNA. The record is from the annotation of a GenBank genome assembly. NCBI's taxonomy places the organism in Eukaryota, Metazoa, Chordata, Amphibia, Anura, Pelobatidae.
GACUAUCUGUGACUGUGUGUGUGAAUGUCUGCCUGUGACUAUCUGUGACUCUGUGUGUGAAUGUCUGCCUGUGACUGAUAGUCACAGGCAGACAUUCACACACACACACA